UGAUCAGACGGGGCCACCUUACUGAA
This 26-nucleotide non-coding RNA is filed under the name Rattus norvegicus (Norway rat). Lineage: Eukaryota; Metazoa; Chordata; Mammalia; Rodentia; Muridae. The record is from RNAcentral.